This 444-nucleotide ribosomal RNA is filed under the name uncultured bacterium. RNAcentral's name for it is "bacterial SSU rRNA". It matches the Rfam family "Bacterial small subunit ribosomal RNA", at positions 337 to 796 of the family's 1533-position model. The record is from RNAcentral.
UCCUACGGGAGGCAGCAGUGGGGAAUAUUGGGCAAUGGGCGCAAGCCUGACCCAGCAACGCCGCGUGAAGGAUUGAAGGUCUUCGGAUUGUAAACUUCUUUGAUUGGGGAAGAAUAAAUGACCUACCCAAAGAACAAGCCACGGCUAACUACGUGCCAGCAGCCGCGGUAAUACGUAGGUGGCAAGCGUUAUCCGGAUUUACUGGGUGUAAAGGGCGUGUAGGCGGUUUCGCAAGUCAGAAGUGAAAUUCCCGGGCUUAACUCGGGCGCUGCUUCUGAAACUGCGGAACUUGAGUGCUGGAGGGGAUAGCGGAAUUCCUAGUGUAGCGGUAAAAUGCGCAGAUAUUAGGAGGAACACCGGUGGCGAAGGCGGCUAUCUGGACAGUAACUGACGCUGAGGCGCGAAAGCGUGGGGAGCAAACAGGAUUAGAUACCCUGGUAGUCC